Molecule: long non-coding RNA, 1347 nt
Filed under: Pogona vitticeps (central bearded dragon)
Lineage: Eukaryota; Metazoa; Chordata; Lepidosauria; Squamata; Agamidae
Description: lncRNA (ENSPVIG00000007804.1)
Source: RNAcentral
UAAAUACCAAGCAGCACCAGCAACUGGGAACAUUCUUGGUCCAUUGAUCCCUGAUUGUGAAACACUUUUAAUAACUUGGGGGGGGGGAAUGCAAGGCAUCUCUGGAGGGUUAUUCAUCACUUCUUCCAGAGCAGCAGGAUCCUGAUCUCUGGCCCUAGGUACACUACUCAAUAGGUACAGUAGAUCCAUGCUGGAGUGUAGGACAAGAUGGCUUCCUACGUCCAUACUCCAUAGCACCAAGUAGCUCACCAGCACAUAGCCACAGAGGCACCUGACUGAUCAUGUUAGAUUCAGGAGGCUGGCUUGCUCUAAGAUACAUCCACUUAUGCCUGACUGCUUUCUUCUAGUCAGUUUCUCCCAUAAACAUUCAGACCCAACACAUCUCAUAUACACUUUGGAUGGCCUCUAAUCCUUGGAGCAGAGUUUCUAGGAGGGGGAAGAGAUGGAACAUGUGGAAGAAAGAAGUAACAGAAAAAUCACAUCUGCUGAACUCUGCUGUGUUCUUCCCUUUGCAAAUAGAAGGGAGUUGUCUCAUAGUACAUGAAAUAAAGAUUUCUGAGAUACGUUUCUCCAGCAAAAUCCCCCAAAUUCCCUUUCAGGGCAUCUUCAGUAAAAAUUUCAUGCGGCAUCAGCUUGAACAACUGUCAAUAAGAAAAAUACAGAUUUCAGGGUGUUUUCUCCCUGUGUGUCUCGGUUCCUGAACAACAAGGUUAAACUGAACAUCUCUCCUGGGAGCAGAGGAGGAGUCCUUUGCAUAGGCAUCUUCAGGCAGCAAUUAGAGACUGUUUGGUCCUUGAUGAAUGCUGAGGCCAUCAGCCACAAACGUAGCACCUGGGAAAGAAGGCCUACAUCUGGAUCCUCUUUGAUGAAAACCUCUUUGUACCAGUGGUGCCAUUUCUUGGUUGCUGAUGAGUAAUCAAAACUCUAGUCAUUUGUGGGCAUUCUGUGCAUUUAUGGGCUACUGGGAAAAGUCAACUUAUGAUCAGGGCCUCACAAGCAGCUUGUUCAUUAUAUGGCUGGAAUGCAAGAAUUCCUGUGAGUGGAGCUCUCUUUAUUUGAUGCUCUUUCUGGAGGAUGUGCCAUUAACAAGAGCUAGUUCAAGACAUUGUAUUGCCUAAGCCAAGGAAGAGGCUGAAAGCUUGCCUGAAGGACAGAUAUGAUUUCCUGUUAGUACUUUGUUUCCUGUCCAAAGGACUGGGUUAGGGGCUCCAGGAUAAGAGGGGGAAAGCAAUAAUCCCCCACAGCGUGUUCAAGAAUCAUUUGAAUUUAAUCUAUUGAUAAGGGAAGGAGCUCCUCUACCUGUGGCAAAGACAUUCUAGAUCAAUGGUUCUCCUAACCUUGCAAUCC